CAGCAGCCACGGUAAUACGUAGGUGGCAAGCGUUGUCCGGAAUUAUUGGGCGUAAAGGGCUCGCAGGCGGUUUCUUAAGUCUGAUGUGAAAGCCCCCGGCUCAACCGGGGAGGGUCAUUGGAAACUGGGAAACUUGAGUGCAGAAGAGGAGAGUGGAAUUCCACGUGUAGCGGUGAAAUGCGUAGAGAUGUGGAGGAACACCAGUGGCGAAGGCGACUCUCUGGUCUGUAACUGACGCUGAGGAGCGAAAGCGUGGGGAGCGAACAGGAUUAGAUACCCCGGUAGUCCCUGUCUCUUAUCA
Molecule: ribosomal RNA, 301 nt
Filed under: uncultured bacterium
Lineage: Bacteria
Description: partial 16S ribosomal RNA
Rfam family: Bacterial small subunit ribosomal RNA
Source: RNAcentral